Molecule: long non-coding RNA, 634 nt
Organism: Suricata suricatta (meerkat)
Lineage: Eukaryota; Metazoa; Chordata; Mammalia; Carnivora; Herpestidae
Exons: 2
Source: RefSeq, a predicted model, not a curated record
UGACCGGAGACAAAUUCAGAUGCUUAACAGACUGAGCCACUCAGGAGCCCCUUUCAUUUUCUUUCUUUAAGCACAGUUGGAAACUAAACCACAGCCAUUGUAUUCCAUAGGCCCUUCACAUGGCCUAUCACAGUAGCCACUUGGAUCAUCACUAAGGCAUUUUCUUCAAUAUGGACUUCACCCCAGGUACCACAGAUGACAUGUACCAUGCACCAUGCCAGCAAACCAACUUCUGAUAUUAAACAGAUUGUCACAGCUUUCAAGUACAACCAGAGUUCUGGCAUGAAAAAGAAUUUGCUGUAUAUGAAGAGAUUUAAUGAAUGAGCAAUACACAGAGGUGUGGGCAGGAUUACUGUACUCGCAGAUUCGCAACAAUGAAAAGCUGUUACUCCACCGCCCCAAACCUGAAGAACAAGAAGAAUAAAUGUUUACUGGAGCCCAGGAAGAGCUGGAGCUAUGGAGAAGCGAUCCAACAGGAGCUGCAGUUGUCAGAGGAUACAGCCAUUCCCACUGGAUCCAUUCUCUUGUAUAGCUGUGUAGAUGACUAGACCACAAUGCAUUUGUCCAUUCUACUGUUAUUUAAGUUACCUGCAAGUUUUUGUUCUCAUAAAUAAUGUUGCUAAGAAUAUUCUCA